GGGGAAUGCGUUUUCCUAAGUCUCAUGGAAGGGCUUGCAUAGCUUAGAGCUCAGCCUCGGAGCGGACUAGCACACAGCUGUUUUGGAGACUGGAGGAUAGCCUGCUGGGAUAGAGAUAUCCCUGGAAGAUACAGAGCUGGUAAGGCUAUCAAGGCAGAAUCAAUUUGUGAACCACAUUUGAUCCCCUCAGUUCAAUUACUGCAGAAGCUGCUUCCUGGCUCAGGUGAGGAAAAAAUAAGAAUAUAUUUUUGCAUUUUCUCUUCUGCAAGGGAGGACAUGAGAGUAUAACAACCACUCAGAAAACAGCAUGACAUUUGUCUGACUGUUUUGCUUUGGGGAUGGAUGGCUCUUGGGGAAAGAAGCAUUUUCAGAGCAAGAGGCACUGUUUUUCAUAAAUAGGUAAAGAUCUACAUCUCCUGCCUUUUUGACCAGUUUCAAUUAUGUUUGGGUGAAAAUGCCAGACCGUAUUUCUCUAAUAGUAGCAUGAGUUCUCACACCUGAUGCAGUUUUGAGAUUACUGGGUUCUUAUCUCUAAAAUCAGUGGGAGGGGGAAGGAAUGAACCAAGGAGAGAAGGGCCUCCGUGCAAAACUCCAGAGGGCAUCAGGCCUCCCAGAUUUUUCUGGGACUGUCAGCUACACGAGGAGUCAUGUGGUAAGUUGAACCCAAGGUUCUCAUAUGUGUCCUUUGAGCUAAAGUAAGAUCCCUCCCACGAAAUAGUGUCUUCUAUUAUAGUGGGGACGAUUUUAGUUGUGCACAGACAGAGGCUACGUCAGAAAGGAGUUAGAGAUCUCAUUUUAGAGAAGGUUAAUAUAGUAAAGACAUUUAAUUGCUUUCUGGCUGACUUUGAA
RNAcentral lists this long non-coding RNA (849 nucleotides) under Macaca mulatta (Rhesus monkey). Its description in RNAcentral is "lncRNA (ENSMMUG00000052021.1)". Lineage: Eukaryota; Metazoa; Chordata; Mammalia; Primates; Cercopithecidae. The record is from RNAcentral.